UUGGGGUAUGUCUACCAGGCGACGACGGGUAGCCGACCUGAGAGGGUGACCGGCCACACUGGGACUGAGACACGGCCCAGACUCCUACGGGAGGCAGCAGUGGGGAAUAUUGCACAAUGGGCGAAAGCCUGAUGCAGCGACGCCGCGUGAGGGAUGACGGCCUUCGGGUUGUAAACCUCUUUCAGCAGGGACGAAGCGAGAGUGACGGUACCUGCAGAAGAAGCACCGGCUAACUACGUGCCAGAGCCGCGGCCGAGGGCCAUCAGCCGCGGCCA
RNAcentral lists this ribosomal RNA (275 nucleotides) under uncultured Rhodococcus sp. RNAcentral's name for it is "partial 16S ribosomal RNA". It matches the Rfam family "Bacterial small subunit ribosomal RNA", at positions 253 to 539 of the family's 1533-position model. The record is from RNAcentral. Lineage: Bacteria; Bacillati; Actinomycetota; Actinomycetes; Mycobacteriales; Nocardiaceae.